Molecule: non-coding RNA, 3113 nt
Organism: Aegilops tauschii subsp. strangulata
Lineage: Eukaryota; Viridiplantae; Streptophyta; Magnoliopsida; Poales; Poaceae
Source: RefSeq, a predicted model, not a curated record
CAAAUAUGUAUGCCAAUUGGUGCUUGUUUUUGUUGUCCCUUUUAGUGUGUAUCUCUGAUGAUCUUUCAAUCUCGGUGAUCAAUGUCUGUCACUUUGGUGGGGAGAUGAAUUGUGCUGUUCUGUUUGUUGUAUGUUCAGUUGAUGAUUCGCUUGACAUAUCCACAAGGUACAGUAUGUGUGAUCCAACCACACGUCGCAUAGUUGAAUUCCGAAGCAAUUAGCUUGAUUACCUGCAGUCCAUCUAAUUCUCAUCUAAUGCUGAUUAGUUUAAGCGAGUCAACACAUAGGACGGAAAGACCCUUUUAUAGUUUUCUCAAGGGGAGUGUACCGUGUGCGGGGGCAUAUCUCUGUUCCUUUGUAUGGUUGUUUAACAAUUUGUGAAAUGCUUGUAGUAUGAUAAUCUAGAUAGUGGGGAUAUGUUACAGAAAGUGUUGUGCCUGGCCUCACAUGUACAUGAGUUGGUUUAUCAUUAAGUGCUCUCUUUCCCACUAAAUUUCACAUCUGCCAUCUGAAAAAAACAAAUCCACAUUUACCUGAUUUCAAGUUCUUAUGGACCUUAUGGUAAAGUAUUUAAGUAAUUUUAGUCGGCUCAAAAGGCUCCAAGAUUCUUUGUCUAUCAUUUCCUGUUCAAAACUGACAACAGAACUUUGUGAAGCCUUUCAGUUUGUCUUUGUUUCAGUUACUUUACCAUUCGGUCUUGAUGCCUGAACUAUGUGAACAUUGUCAGCUUAGUAAAAUGGUAUGAACUUGUGUGCCAUACACAUAGCAGGUCGAAAAACUACCAUUGUAUUUGCAUAUACUGCUUGUGACACAAUCUUCUGAAAACAUGUUGGUGGUCAUUGGUCAACAAAUGUUUUCAGCAUUCGGCACGGUGUUAAUUAUCUUGAAUUUAUUGUGCUUCUAGAAUAAUAGAUUUCCGAAUAAUUAGAUGGUCAGCUAUGCAAUAUAAUAUUCCCAUAGUAUUGAAAUAUUCUGUUCUGCAAAUAGUCCUUCAGCAAAUGGCGCUUACACUUAAUAUGGGAUACUCCAAAUCCAUAAGAGCAGGCUAUAUCUGAUAUUUUCUCCAUACAGAGUCGGCAGCGACUUGAUUUAUAUUUUCCGCUACUUGUCAAUAUGAUGGCCCGUUGUAUAUAAAUGAGGCAUGGCCAUCACUUAUACUUGGGAACUACUUUUCAGUGAUAGCUGUAUUGACUAAGGGAACUACGACGGGCUUAUGCUUACUGAACUAUAUUCGAAACUAUCAGAGUGUAUAGCAGAUUAGAGCAGAUUACAACAGCCUUAAAGAUUGUUGGCCAUUAACGGUUAUCCAUGGCACUAAAACUACUUGAUCUCAAUACAUUCACCUCACAACACUUGUUGGCGAAAACAUGUGCUAUAGCACCAAAGAAGUUGAGGUCAAAUUAAUGAGGUCAUCGACUUGAAGAUUGAUAAAUAUGGUUCUGUUAUUAUGCAGGAGUUGUGUGAUCUGAGGAGAAACUAUUCUCUUGCAAAUCGGAUAAUUGUUGUAGGAAUCAAAAGGCACAUGAUUGUACUGUUGUUCUGGGAUUUCGUUUCUUACGUUCCUCGACCCUGAUGUCUACAUGAGAUGCCGCAACAAAGAAAAUGCUCUCAGCCUUGGACGAUCCAUUCACUUGAUUCUUGAAACCAUUACCUUUUCUGAAGCAAGACUAGCUAGCACCCAAGGUGCCGUGGCAGGUGUACGUUUAUCCAUUGGCUACCCGUUGGAGCAUCACUUGCGGUGCUCUUUGUAAUGUCACUUGGUGGGUUUUGCAGAAAUGACUUUCUAGAGACGUUUUAUCUUGAUAAUUGACAACAUAAGAGUGCAAAAUAUUUGACAGCAGAUCGCUUAUGGGGUCAUCAAGGAAACUCAAUAGAUGGCUAUUUCAGUGGAGAUUAUACCAGAGAUGUUGUUUUGAAAGUAUAUGCCAGGAGAGAAAGAUAUACUUGAAACCCGAUGAGGUCAAUGAUGUGGAGAUUUUACUAGAGAUGUUGUUUUCAAGUAAGAUUUUGUGUGAGAUUAUACCGAUCGCACCAGCACGCCACAUUGUUGCUCCACGGCAAAGGCAGCGAGCGACUGGCUGGCUGCUGGCUUGUACGUGUGGAAGGCAGUUGUUCACGGCAGACCAGUGAGCGGCGGCGGGUGGGCGCGACCACAUGGUGGUUGGAAGGUAGGCUUCGCGGCGUUCAACCUCGGCCACCAUCGUACCACGAUCUCGGCCCACCCGGAAAGUCGGAUGAAGAGGUGGUGGACGACUGAUCCCGGAGAGGAGAACAAGCCUCCGAGCACGUGCUCGUCAACUCCAUGCCGGCCGCUCCAAGCGCCCCUGCUUCGUGUCUUCAAGGCAGGCGCCGAGAUAGCCUUUGCAGCGAGCUGUGGUGUGUGGACUCUGCGGCGAGAUGGGAUUCAGAAUCCUUUUCCGUAAUAGCACAUCCAAGGAAGGAAGGAGAUUGAGGUUGGCACCUCCUGAAGGCAUGCAUGCUCUUCACCGAGAGAGGGAAGGGCAUCUUUUUCUUGGGUUGCAGUUUCCACCUUGUUGUUGGGUGAGCUGAUUCGUUGUUUGUCAGAGCUCUUGUGGAUAAUCAGACAUGGGGUGCAUGGCAAAAUUAGGACAGACUGAAGGCAGCAAAUUCCGCGUUGGCCGUGCACUUUGAGGAGAAGACAUUGUCUUUGUAUAAGUGCCCCCACAGUCAUCUCUUUACAGCAGAGAUAAGGCCUUCAGGUAGAUAUGGCCGCAUAAAUCGCACCGAUGGAUCCAGUCCUUCGCUAGGUCCAACCUACCCUGCACCAGCCUCAAGCACGUUAUUCAGUUAACGCAUAUUCUGUCUUUUGGCAUGUGUAUGCUUGCUCUUGUGCUCAUGUUGUAAUCGUGACUUGUAAUCAGUCCAUGAUCCUUGUGUGACCAGAAGUUGGGCAUAACUGCAUUGUUACUGAGAAGAUGUGAAUAUUAACUUAGGGAUCAGAGCUGAAGCUCUAGCCGAUAGCAAAGAUAUGAAGUCUGUGCUCUGUCUUAUGUUUGCAAGUAUAUUGAUGUAACUUCACAUCUUGAAUGGAGUCACUCCUAUGUGUACUGCCGCUGUAAUUACACAACAUGAAUUUUCCGUUUUUGUGAUCA